AGGGUGUAAACGCUGCAGACUUGGUGUUGGAAAUCCUUCGAGGGUAUUCAGUGCCGGAGAGAAGUUGUUAAGUCUGCUACUUGGGGGAGUACGUCCGCAAGGAUGAAACUUAAAGGAAUUGGCGGGGGAGCACCGCAACGGGAGGAGCGUGCGGUUUAAUUGGAUUCAACACCGGAAAAACUCACCAGGGGAGACUGUUACAUGAAACCCAGACUAAUGAUCUUGGUUGAUUUCAGAGAGGAGGUGCAUGGCGUCAGUGACU
RNAcentral lists this ribosomal RNA (262 nucleotides) under uncultured archaeon. Its description in RNAcentral is "partial 16S ribosomal RNA". It matches the Rfam family "Archaeal small subunit ribosomal RNA", at positions 748 to 1008 of the family's 1478-position model. The record is from RNAcentral.